RNAcentral lists this ribosomal RNA (504 nucleotides) under uncultured bacterium. Its description in RNAcentral is "partial 16S ribosomal RNA". It matches the Rfam family "Bacterial small subunit ribosomal RNA", at positions 30 to 523 of the family's 1533-position model. The record is from RNAcentral.
AUUGAACGCUAGCGGCAUGCCUAACACAUGCAAGUCGAACGGCAGCACGGGGAGCUUGCUCUCUGGUGGCGAGUGGCGAACGGGUGAGUAACGCGUAGGAAUCUGCCUAGUAGUGGGGGACAACUCGAGGAAACUCGAGCUAAUACCGCAUAAUCUCUACGGAGCAAAGUGGGGGACCUUCGGGCCUCACGCUAUUAGAUGAGCCUGCGUCAGAUUAGAUUGUUGGUGGGGUAAUGGCCUACCAAGUCGACGAUCUGUAGCUGGUCUGAGAGGAUGACCAGCCACACUGGGACUGAGACACGGCCCAGACUCCUACGGGAGGCAGCAGUGGGGAAUUUUCCGCAAUGGACGAAAGUCUGACGGAGCAACGCCGCGUGAACGAUGAAGGCCUUCGGGUUGUAAAGUUCUGUUAUAAGGAAAGAAUAUGUUAAUAAGGAAAUGUAUUAACACUGACGGUACCUUAUCAGAAAGCCACGGCUAACUACGUGCCAGCCGCCGCGGUAA